AUUGAACGCUGGCGGCAUGCCUUACACAUGCAAGUCGAACGGUAGAGGGGGGCAACCCCUUCGAGAGUGGCGAACGGGUGAGUAAUGCAUCGGAACGUGCCCAGUCGUGGGGGAUAGCCCGGGGAAACCCGGAUUAAUACCGCAUACGACCUGAGGGUGAAAGCGGGGGACUCGCAAGGGCCUCGCGCGAUUGGAGCGGCCGAUGUCGGAUUAGGUAGUUGGUGGGGUAAAGGCCUACCAAGCCUGCGAUCCGUAGCUGGUCUAAGAGGACGACCAGCCACACUGGGACUGAGACACGGCCCAGACUCCUACGGGAGGCAGCAGUGGGGAAUUUUGGACAAUGGGGGCAACCCUGAUCCAGCCAUGCCGCGUGCGGGAAGAAGGCCUUCGGAUUGUAAACCGCUUUUGUCAGGGAAGAAAUGUCCUGGGCUAAUACCCUGGGGGGAUGACGGUACCUGAAGAAUAAGCACCGGCUAACUACGUGCCAGCCGCCGCGGUAA
RNAcentral lists this ribosomal RNA (500 nucleotides) under uncultured bacterium. Its description in RNAcentral is "partial 16S ribosomal RNA". It matches the Rfam family "Bacterial small subunit ribosomal RNA", at positions 29 to 523 of the family's 1533-position model. The record is from RNAcentral.